CUUUGGACAAUGGUAGGAGAGCGUUCUAAGGGCGUUGAAGCAUGAUCGUAAGGACAUGUGGAGCGCUUAGAAGUGAGAAUGCCGGUGUGAGUAGCGAAAGACGGGUGAGAAUCCCGUCCACCGAUUGACUAAGGUUUCCAGAGGAAGGCUCGUCCGCUCUGGGUUAGUCGGGUCCUAAGCUGAGGCCGACAGGCGUAGGCGAUGGAUAACAGGUUGAUAUUCCUGUACCACCUAUAAUCGUUUUAAUCGAUGGGGGGACGCAGUAGGAUAGGCGAAGCGUGCGAUUGGAUUGCACGUCUAAGCAGUAAGGCUGAGUAUUAGGCAAAUCCGGUACUCGUUAAGGCUGAGCUGUGAUGGGGAGAAGACAUUGUGUCUUCGAGUCGUUGAUUUCACACUGCCGAGAAAAGCCUCUAGAUAGAAAAUAGGUGCCCGUACCGCAAACCGACACAGGUAGUCAAGAUGAGAAUUCUAAGGUGAGCGAGCGAACUCUCGUUAAGGAACUCGGCAAAAUGACCCCGUAACUUCGGGAGAAGGGGUGCUCUUUAGGGUUAACGCCCAGAAGAGCCGCAGUGAAUAGGCCCAAGCGACUGUUUAUCAAAAACACAGGUCUCUGCUAAACCGUAAGGUGAUGUAUAGGGGCUGACGCCUGCCCGGUGCUGGAAGGUUAAGAGGAGUGGUUAGCUUCUGCGAAGCUACGAAUCGAAGCCCCAGUAAACGGCGGCCGUAACUAUAACGGUCCUAAGGUAGCGAAAUUCCUUGUCGGGUAAGUUCCGACCCGCACGAAAGGCGUAACGAUUUGGGCACUGUCUCAACGAGAGACUCGGUGAAAUCAUAGUACCUGUGAAGAUGCAGGUUACCCGCGACAGGACGGAAAGACCCCGUGGAGCUUUACUGUAGCCUGAUAUUGAAAUUCGGCACAGCUUGUACAGGAUAGGUAGGAGCCUUUGAAACGUGAGCGCUAGCUUACGUGGAGGCGCUGGUGGGAUACUACCCUAGCUGUGUUGGCUUUCUAACCCGCACCACUUAUCGUGGUGGGAGACAGUGUCAGGCGGGCAGUUUGACUGGGGCGGUCGCCUCCUAAAAGGUAACGGAGGCGCUCAAAGGUUCCCUCAGAAUGGUUGGAAAUCAUUCAUAGAGUGUAAAGGCAUAAGGGAGCUUGACUGCGAGACCUACAAGUCGAGCAGGGUCGAAAGACGGACUUAGUGAUCCGGUGGUUCCGCAUGGAAGGGCCAUCGCUCAACGGAUAAAAGCUACCCCGGGGAUAACAGGCUUAUCUCCCCCAAGAGUUCACAUCGACGGGGAGGUUUGGCACCUCGAUGUCGGCUCAUCGCAUCCUGGGGCUGUAGUCGGUCCCAAGGGUUGGGCUGUUCGCCCAUUAAAGCGGUACGCGAGCUGGGUUCAGAACGUCGUGAGACAGUUCGGUCCCUAUCCGUCGUGGGCGUAGGAAAUUUGAGAGGAGCUGUCCUUAGUACGAGAGGACCGGGAUGGACAUACCUCUGGUGUACCAGUUGUCGUGCCAACGGCAUAGCUGGGUAGCUAUGUGUGGACGGGAUAAGUGCUGAAAGCAUCUAAGCAUGAAGCCCCCCUCAAGAUGAGAUUUCCCAACUUCGGUUAUAAGAUCCCUCAAAGAUGAUGAGGUUAAUAGGUUCGAGGUGGAAGCAUGGUGACAUGUGGAGCUGACGAAUACUAAUCGAUCGAAGAC
Molecule: ribosomal RNA, 1702 nt
Filed under: Staphylococcus aureus
Lineage: Bacteria; Bacillati; Bacillota; Bacilli; Caryophanales; Staphylococcaceae
Description: partial 23S ribosomal RNA
Rfam family: Bacterial large subunit ribosomal RNA
Source: RNAcentral